CCUACGGGCGGCAGCAGUGAGGAAUAUUGGUCAAUGGGCGUAAGCCUGAACCAGCCAAGUCGCGUGAGGGAUGAAGGUUCUAUGGAUCGUAAACCUCUUUUAUAAGGGAAUAAAGUUGGGGACGUGUCCUAUGUUGUAUGUACCUUAUGAAUAAGGAGCGGCUAACUCCGUGCCAGCAGCCUCGGUAAUACGGAGGAUCCGAGCGUUAUCCGGAUUUAUUGGGGUUAAAGGGUGCGUAGGCGGCCUUUUAAGUCAGCGGUGAAAGUCUGUGGCUCAACCAUAGAAUUGCCGUUGAAACUGGGGGGCUUGAGUGUGUUUGAGGCAGGCGGAAUGCGUGGUGUAGCGGUGAAAUGCUUAGAUAUCACGCAGAACCCCGAUUGCGAAGGCAGCCUGCCAGGCCAUGACUGACGCUGAUGCACGAAAGCGUGGGGAUCGAACAGGAUUAGAUACCCGUGUAGUC
RNAcentral lists this ribosomal RNA (460 nucleotides) under uncultured bacterium. RNAcentral's name for it is "partial 16S ribosomal RNA". It matches the Rfam family "Bacterial small subunit ribosomal RNA", at positions 338 to 795 of the family's 1533-position model. The record is from RNAcentral.